RNAcentral lists this ribosomal RNA (460 nucleotides) under uncultured bacterium. RNAcentral describes it as "partial 16S ribosomal RNA". It matches the Rfam family "Bacterial small subunit ribosomal RNA", at positions 338 to 795 of the family's 1533-position model. The record is from RNAcentral.
CCUACGGGAGGCAGCAGUGAGGAAUAUUGGUCAAUGGGCGAGAGCCUGAACCAGCCAAGUCGCGUGAAGGAUGAAUGAUCUAUGGUUUGUAAACUUCUUUUAUAUGGGAAUCAAAUGAGGAACGUGUUCCUUUUUGUAUGUACCAUAUGAAUAAGCAUCGGCUAACUCCGUGCCAGCAGCCGCGGUAAUACGGAGGAUUCGAGCGUUAUCCGGAUUUAUUGGGUGUAAAGGGUGCGUAGGUGGUUAAUUAAGUCAGCGGUGAAAGGUUUGGGCUCAACCAUAAAAUUGCCGUUGAAACUGGUUGACUUGAGUAUAUUUGAGGUAGGCGGAAUGCGUGGUGUAGCGGUGAAAUGCAUAGAUAUAACGCAGAACUCCGAUUGCGAAGGAAGCUUACUAAACUAUAACUGACACUGAAGCACGAAAGCGUGGGGAUCAAACAGGAUUAGAUACCCGUGUAGUC